GAUGAACGCUGGCGGCGUGCCUAAUACAUGCAAGUCGAGCGAACAGACGAGGAGCUUGCUCCUCUGACGUUAGCGGCGGACGGGUGAGUAACACGUGGAUAACCUACCUAUAAGACUGGGAUAACUUCGGGAAACCGGAGCUAAUACCGGAUAACAUCCUGCACCGUAGGGUUCAUUGGAAAAUUACGGCCUUGUGGUAUCUAAUAGAUGCUUCCGCGCCGCAUUAGCUAGUUGGUAAGGUAACGGCUUACCAAGGCAAGCAUGCGUAGCCGACCUGAGAGGGUGAUCGGCCACACUGGAACUGAGACACGGUCCAGACUACUACGGGAGGCAGCAGUAGGGAAUCUUCCGCAAUGGGCGAAAGCCUGACGGAGCAACGCCGCGUGAGUGAAGAAGGUCUUCGGAUCGUAAAACUCUGUUAUUAGGGAAGAACAAAUGUGUAAGUAACUAUGCACGUCUUGACGGUACCUAGUCAGAAAGCCACGGCUAACUACGUG
This 497-nucleotide ribosomal RNA is filed under the name uncultured bacterium. RNAcentral describes it as "partial 16S ribosomal RNA". It matches the Rfam family "Bacterial small subunit ribosomal RNA", at positions 28 to 507 of the family's 1533-position model. The record is from RNAcentral.